Perognathus longimembris pacificus (Pacific pocket mouse) is the source of this 1783-nucleotide long non-coding RNA. RefSeq lists it as uncharacterized. The record is from RefSeq and is a predicted model, not a curated record. Lineage: Eukaryota; Metazoa; Chordata; Mammalia; Rodentia; Heteromyidae. The transcript has 2 exons.
ACACACACACGCCAUAAUCCUGUGCAAGUCUCUAUUCUCUUCUCUUCGCCUGUCUUCCUCUCUCAACCCAUUUUCUCUGGUUUGUUGUUGUGAUUACAGUUGGUCUAUUUGGGUUUUUGAGACAGGGUUUUCUUAAGGAGUGCAGGCCAGCUUUAAACUCAGCCUACCAAGUCUGGGAUUACAGGAAAGGCUAUCCUGCCUGGCAUACCAUUCUACUUUUCUUAUUUGUCCCUGUGAAAAACUUCGGGGAGAUAAAAUGUAUUUAGCUAUUAAGAACUAUAGAUUUCACCAAACACCAGUUAGCUAGCACUAACACACCUCAUAAAAGAAAGAUAUUUGUUACAUUAUAAGCCAGAACCUCAAGGGGGAAACACAAUGAGAAAUGUGGACUCCCAAGUUGGAGUCUGGUCACAUGCCUGUUCCCCUAAGCUGAUGAAGGGACAACUCCAGACCCCAGGCAGGCAACUCGUCCCCAAGAUCGGAACGAUAAAAGAGAGGGUUUGAUAUCACCAUGGACAGAGAUUCCACCAAUAAAGCAAAGUUAAGUUCUGAAGCCUAACCUCCUUUUAGUCCUUUGUAGGAAAGACAUUUUUCUCCAUAAAUUAGCAAAUGCCUUGUGGUUUGGAGUGACUGCCCCAAGACCCAUGUCCCUAAUUCCUUAUUUCUUUGUUACACGCUCAAGGAUGUGUGAGCAAUUAACUUUAAUAACUCUGACUCUGGCUGAAAGAAAAGGAAACUACAGACGACCCCAAAACUCCUCGCACUGAACGAAUCUUGAGUCCUGUGUGUGGAGGAAUAACAGCAAGGUCUUCGGUGCCUGCCGUUGGCCCAGGUUUCCCCUCAGUAGACGAGCUCGUGACCUUCUUCUUGGCGAGGUCACAGUGGCAUUGCGGCGCGUGAACGGGGGAUCUGGGAUGGGCACAGGCAUGUAUGGGAAGCAAUGACGUAGUGUCUGCCAGACUACCUUCGCAUGCUAUGUGUAACAGAUCUGGCAACUGAACUAAUUACCCUGGCUGGCGAUUUGCUGUAGGUUCUGCUUGCAACAUGCUAACAGCCCUAGAUAACCUCCCAAGGAGAAAAAACACAGAGGGUUGUCCUCUGCUAAAUACUAGAAGAAUCUCUGGCUUAUCCCAGGGCCUUAUCUGUUCCCAUCAGUCCCUACAGAGUGGUAGUUUCCUUCCCUGCCCCCCCACAUCAUGAAAUUACUCUGGAAUCUUCUGGAAGAAAACACUAGGUACUGUGUAUACAGUGCCCCUCUGGUCCAGCCCACGCUACGUGUUGAUUUCCCACAUGGACAGGAUCCAGAAGCAUCGUAGCUGCAAAUAAAAAGACAAGGCAAUGCCACUGUCUGUUAGCAUUGUCUGGCACUCCAAAAGAUGAGCACAAAUCCCCACAAAAAUAAAUGCACCCCAGAUAGCUCUGCAAGGUGACACUCAGACCUGCCAACCUGCAAACAUGGUCCAAUUAGCAUGGGAGGGCACAGAGUUUAAAGGCUCAGGCAUCUCAACCCAGCCUGCCCCGGGCCUCGCGUCUCCAAGGCCCCUCCCACUUUGCAGUGCAGCCUGGAUGUUGUUCUUCUGAAGAAUAAACGGAUCCCAGCAAGUCUUCAUGGAGGGCCCGCUGCAGCCCAAGCCCUGAGCAACAGCCCUGACAGGCAGGCGCCGCAACUGCCAGGCCUGGAGGGGAACUUCUGACACAGCUCGUUAACUUUCUAUUUCUACUGUACGUUUGUUUAUAUUUACACUAUAGUUAGGUUUCCUGGUCUUUAUUAAAAGAGUUCUCU